AGUAAUACAUAAGUAACCUGCCCUAGACAGGGGGAUAACUAUUGGAAACGAUAGCUAAGACCGCAUAGGUACGGACACUGCAUGGUGACCGUAUUAAAAGUGCCUCAAAGCACUGGUAGAGGAUGGACUUGUGGCGCAUUAGCUGGUUGGCGGGGUAACGGCCCACCAAGGCGACGAUGCGUAGCCGACCUGAGAGGGUGACCGGCCACACUGGGACUGAGACACGGCCCAG
RNAcentral lists this ribosomal RNA (232 nucleotides) under uncultured bacterium. RNAcentral describes it as "partial 16S ribosomal RNA". It matches the Rfam family "Bacterial small subunit ribosomal RNA", at positions 109 to 334 of the family's 1533-position model. The record is from RNAcentral.